CAGUCAAUACACUGCUGAUACCAGGAGUGGAAAUUUGGAAAUACUUAUCCAUUGAAUCCAUCCUGAAUGUUAGAUGAGAAGAUUGAUACAUUUCUCAUAAUUGUUUGCUAAAUAUAACACUAUAGCCUGCAGCCUAUUAGCUUAGUAUAAAGACUGGAAAGAAGGGGAAGCUAGCCUGGCUCUGACUGAAGUGAUUGCCAGGCUGGAUAUUCUGUGUUACAGCCACCGAGGAAACCAGUGAGGGAGACAUCAAUUCUGACAUGAUCGUGCACACUGUGUAAUGUACCUUCUGCUGUCUCGACACGUUUGGACUUUGAGUGUUUUUACAGCAUAACUGGACACAGACUCUCCACUAAGAUCUAUCAGCGGGGGAUGAAUAAAAGUCUGCCUGGGCCACAUCCAUCGGAGGAAGACUCCAGAUUACGGCUGUUGCCAGCAGGCUAAUUCACAACACAUGUGUUUGAGAGUUGAGAGGAGGAAGCCUGCGAGCUGGAGAGACAUAGACUAAUGUGGCUACUGCAUUUAAUCCUGCUUUAUUAAGUGAAGAUUAAACGUUCUUUAAAAUGUUACCACAAGUCAAGCAUCCUGAUUGAAUGGCAUGUGUGACACCGCGAGUUCACGCGAAGCUGGCUUCCAUCACCACACACUCAUCCUUCCUUUUGUCUUCAUUACUUGUCAUUUAUCUUUCCAGUGUAUUCACAUAAAGCAGAAAUAUCCAAAAAUGUCUGUAUUUUUUAUCCCCUCUUGAGACCUGUUUAAAGUUACAACUAUUCUCAUUAU
Molecule: long non-coding RNA, 780 nt
Organism: Thunnus maccoyii (southern bluefin tuna)
Lineage: Eukaryota; Metazoa; Chordata; Actinopteri; Scombriformes; Scombridae
Exons: 3
Source: RefSeq, a predicted model, not a curated record